ACUUUCUUGAAGGUUAUUUGAACAUGUUUUAGGGUUGCAUCUUGAUUUAUCUGUAGUGCUUUUGAACCAUAUCGCUCUGCAUGUUUUCUCGGGCCACACACUCACUGGGAGCACGGCAGGGGGAUGAAAGCGAGACCCUUGGUGAGUUUCUUAACCUCCAAGUUGCCUCUGUUUCCUCAUCGGUGAAGAUGAAGCUAAUCAUGCAAAGGGUGUGGAGGUACCAACAGACAUUAGCUCUGAUGAUGGUGGUUUCUGAGCUGAGGAUGCAGACAUGUGUGUGUCCCCAGGGUGCUCCCUGCCUGAGGGUGGGCUCCACACUCACUCUUCGAAGCAGGCUACAGGGUGCUCCCUGCCUGAGGGUGGGCUCCACACUCACUCUCCGAAGCAGGCUACAGGGUGCUCCCUGCCUGAGGGUGGGUUCCACACUCACUCUCCGAAGCAGGCUACAGGGUGCUCCCUGCCUGAGGGUGGGCUCCACACUCACUCUCCGAAGCAGGCUACAGGGUGCUCCCUGCCUGAGGGUGGGCUCCACACUCACUCUCCGAAGCAGGCUACAGGGUGCUCCCUGCCUGAGGGUGGGCUCCACACUCACUCUCCGAAGCAGGCUGGCAUUCUUGUUAGUUGGCAGAUGAGAACACUUGGCUCAAGGAGCUUAAAUGACACCCAAGGGCACACAGAGCCAGGGCCUGGCUGCAUUGCUGUGGGCACCUCCCACACUGCCCUGUGCACACUUCAGCCUUACAGGCCAAAGCACCAAAGAUCUGCUACUGGGUCCUUUAUCUCAGCAAAGAGCCUACCAUUCCUUCCGUCCGCCGCAUCCUCUGCAGGGUGGCAUUUGUCCACUUCCUUUGGUCCUCCUGCCACUGCCUUGGCCAGGCCAGCAUCGUCUCUCCCCUGGCCCCCAUCACCAUGCUUGCCACUGUGCUGUGCCCCUGCCCAGCCUAGUCACUCCUCACAACACUACGCUGCCUCAGGAGCCAAUCUAGCAUUUAACAUGGCUUAGAUCUGGGCCUCUCAAAUUUAAGCAGGCAACAGAACCACGUGGAGGCUGUUAAAACAGUGCUGGGCUCCAUUCCCAGUACUGGAUUCAGUAGGUCUAGGAUGGGGCCCGAGUUUGCAUUUUAAACAAAUUUCCAGCAGAUGCUGGUACUGCAGGGCCAGGGAGCACACUUUGAGAACCACUGACCUAGGUGCUGGCCUCCCGAAUGAGCUCCUGCCAAGGCCUCUGGGGCUCACCUGAGCCACCUCACCCCUCAGGGAUGGGAAGCCCAAUGAUGCCAGGAUGUUCCGGGGUGGCCAGGGCCGAGCACCAUCGGCCUUACCAGCUGGCACCCAGUAAUUGGCUCAAGAACCACCUAUGGAAGGAGAUGCUGGAGGGCUCGUUACCUGGUUGGUCUUUUAGCUGUGGGACCGGGGGAGUACCUCAAGGGCUGGCUCUGUGUCCAAUUCAUUCCUGGGAAAUGUCAGCCAUUCACCAAAACGUCACUCAGAGAAGAGCCAUCACCCAGCCCCCGCCUGGCAGGGCAGUUCAUAAGCAAGUGGAGACCCCAUGUGUCUACGUGAAUCAAAGGAAAAGGCUGUACGGAGGCACACACCAGGGCUCUGGGGGGUGGGGAUGGAAAAUCCCGGGCAGCAGGGGCACUGGGUCACACCUGGACUUGAGGCUAGAGCUGCUGGUCUUCAAGGGAAGGGACAGGAACUCAGAGCAGGGGGUGAGGGCUGGGGGGCAGGACAGACUGACAGCCUGUCCUGUGUGCCUUGCAUACGCCAGGCCCACUACUGGUCUCUAUGCUAGUUAUCUAAGGAAAACUCAGGAGGUGGCUGCUGUUCUCUCUACAGACAAGGAUGUAGGCUCAAGGAGUGGGUCCAGCUCAGGUCUCCAUAGCCAGGUGGUGUGAAGCCCGGGUGAUGACAAAGUCCUCGGUCCCGGCAGCAAGGGCAUUUCAGGGAGCCACUGGUGACACCCUUACACCCUUCCCACAUCAACACAGAGGAACUGAGGCCAGAGAGGACUUGACAGGACUUGUCUCCACUCCCAGUCAGCCAGGCUUGGAGCUGGCCAGAACCGCCCUCCGCCUAGGCCAGGGUACUGAGUGGCAAGCACCCUUGCUUGCAGGUAGAUGACCUAACCCUGACACCAAGCCAGGAACCCAGGGCUUGGGAAACUACAAAUAAGACCACAGAGACUGAGGCCUCGGUGGGCUUGUAGGUGGAGAGCCCUCCCUCAGGCCAGUGUCUACUGCGCUCAGCUCCGGCCCUCCUCAGGGCAGGGUUUUCAGAGACCAGGUUCCUCCUCUGAAACCUCAGCCUGUGGCUCUCUGUGCCUUCAUCCCCGCAGCUGGCAUGGAAAUAAUGAUCUGACCUCCCAGGGGAGGCGGCCCCACGGGCGUGAUGGUGACACCCUGUGGGGGGCAGCCUGGGUAACAUGCAGAGUGCCGAGGGGUAGGCCUGAGCUCAAAUCUGGCUUCUGCCCUCACCGAGCCAUGUGAUCCCAUCCUGGCUACUCCCAUACCUGAGCUGGAGUUUCUUCAGCAGUAGGACCAGGGUGCCGAGGGGACAACAGAACUCCCUCUGAUGAGGGAUCACCCUGCAGCCUCAAGAGGCUCAAAUGCAGAAAGCAGCCCCUGGUGUCACAGUGUACACAGCCUGGAGGCGGCCCAGCAAAACCUGCGGUCCCUUUCCCACGGACCAGAGGUCUCAGACACAGGACCCUUAGGUUGGACACAGUUCUCAGACAUGUUUUAAAAACAAUCCAUGUUCACAAUCCAUUUUUAAAAACAUUCUGAUUAAUUGCCAACAUUUAAAAAUCCAGGAGAUUUUAUAUAAAGGUCUGGAUUUCUGGUUCAUCUUGAAAAUUGGACAGUCAGGUCAUACCAAGUCCACAUUUCACACAGUGACAAAGAUUGGAGCUGAGCGGCUCCCUGGCCCGCCUCACUCAUUCCAUUUCCCCCCUGAUCCUUGGAAGCAUGUGGGUUUCCAAUGCCUGGAGCUAGACUGAGCACCCACAGGCUGCAGCAGUGCAUGGACCCAUCUUUGCUAAAUUUUCUCUCCCACAGCCAAGACUGCAAGCUGAGCAGGCCAUGGAGCCCAUGAGCCGAGGACCAGGGCUUGGGGUUUUCCCAGGGGACUGAGGCAGCCCUUUGCUGCUUGGUCUCACCGGAGAAAAUGGAGGGAGGGAGGAAGUGAAGAAGGGAGGGAGAAAGCUGGCCCCAUCCUAUAAUGCAUCUGGGGGAGCAAGAAUGUGGCUGAUUUAGCUGGAAGAAGGAAAAAUGUACCAAGACCCGAAAGACAGGGAAUGUCCUCACUGGAGGAAAGUGAAGGAAGAAGGCUCUACAGUUCUUCUCCUGGGUUACAAGAGAAGUUAGCUAGCAGGCAGAGAGGAGCUUUGCCCCCAGAGAAGCCUGCAGUGUAGACUCAGCUCUGCCACUUACUGGUAGUGUGACCUUGGGCAAGUCACUCACCUCCCUGAGCCUCCCUUUAGAGUCUUCAUCUCUAAAAUGGGGAUAAUAAACUUACCUUGCGCAACUGUUGUAAAAAAAAAUUAGGAGAUAAUGGAUGCAGAGCACUCAACACAGGUCUCACAGAGCAGGAAGGGAAUGAAAGGCACCCGUGAGUAAUUCCCCAGGCGCCCCUGCCUGCAGGAGACUCAGGCCUGACCUCCAGGGCACCACCCAUCUAAGGGCAUCUUAUGCCAAGGCCUCCAAUGCCCCAGAUGCCAGUCACCUCUAGGAUGCCUCCCCGGAUGGGAAAGGAAACCCAAGGACGGUUGUGGUCGCUGGGAUCCUGGAUCUGAAGCCCGCGGUCGGGGCUGGCAUCUGCUGAGUCAGGCCUGGGAGAGCUGGCAGGAGGGCCAUUUCUCUCUCCAGCAUGAU
Molecule: long non-coding RNA, 3872 nt
Filed under: Homo sapiens (human)
Lineage: Eukaryota; Metazoa; Chordata; Mammalia; Primates; Hominidae
Description: non-protein coding PRR7-AS1:10
Source: RNAcentral